RNAcentral lists this ribosomal RNA (609 nucleotides) under uncultured bacterium. Its description in RNAcentral is "bacterial SSU rRNA". It matches the Rfam family "Bacterial small subunit ribosomal RNA", at positions 338 to 945 of the family's 1533-position model. The record is from RNAcentral.
CCUACGGGAGGCAGCAGUGAGGAAUAUUGGACAAUGGGCGCAAGCCUGAUCCAGCCAUGCCGCGUGCAGGAAGACGCAUCUAUGGUGUGUAAACUGCUUUUGUACGGGAAGAAACACUCCUUCGUGAAGGAGCUUGACGGUACCGUAAGAAUAAGGAUCGGCUAACUCCGUGCCAGCAGCCGCGGUAAUACGGAGGAUCCAAGCGUUAUCCGGAAUCAUUGGGUUUAAAGGGUCCGUAGGCGGUUUAAUAAGUCAGUGGUGAAAUCUGGUCGCUCAACGAUCAAACGGCCAUUGAUACUGUUAGACUUGAAUUACUAGGAAGUAACUAGAAUAUGUAGUGUAGCGGUGAAAUGCUUAGAUAUUACAUGGAAUACCAAUUGCGAAGGCAGGUUACUACUAGUGGAUUGACGCUGAUGGACGAAAGCGUGGGGAGCGAACAGGAUUAGAUACCCUGGUAGUCCACGCCGUAAACGAUAGGAUACUAAGCUGUUGGGCGCAAGUUCAGUGGCUAAGCGAAAGUGAUAAGUAUCCACCUGGGGAGUACGUUCGCAAGAAUGAAACUUAAAGGAAUUGAACGGCUGAGACCNGCGAGACGACGACGAGGAGAGG